CCUCCUCAAUCUUCUCAGCUCUAAGCUUAUGCCCUUUGAAUUCGUCAGAUUGCCCCUCCGGAACAGAAGGUGCUCGAUGUUUUGCUUCAUACAUAUCUUGGUGCUUGAUUCCCAGCCAACAGCGCCAAGAGCAACGAUGUUUUACUCCUCGUGGAAUCUUCACCAACCACUCCAAGUCUACUUUGUUUCCGGAUAUUCUCAAUAUAAGUAAGUACACUACAUCUUAAGCAUGCACGUCUACAACAUCAUACCUACAUACGAUUAGUUGAUUUAUGCAUAUGCAUUAUACCAUUUUCAGACUUUAUUGUUGUUUGUUUUUUAGAUCCGGCUGUUUUCUUUGAUCUGAAUUUAGAUCGACUUCCAAAAUUGUAGCUUUGAUUUCAAUUGGCAAACCUAGAGAAGGUAAGGUGUUAUAAUCUCUCAUAAAUCAUGAUUAUGUACAGUACUUCUUACUCAACUUAAUGAAUCAUUUUGUUCGUUUUCUUUUGCAGAAAUUGGGGUAUGUUGUUCAAGUAAGUUCAGUUGACUGCUCGGAUUGUCAACCACUGCUUUUUCUUCAGUUAUUCGAUAGUCACUAUUUUAAUUUCCUAACUAUACACAUGUCCCCCUGUAUGUCUAUUUAUAGUCCUCUCUUAAUAGUUCAAGUAGCACUGUCGCUUCCUUUUAGACCUUUAACUUAUAUAGAAACUACAAGCAAAUUUUGCUGGCUGUGUAGUACAUCUUGGAAUUAAUGUAUAUUCUCUUUUAGUUAGCCCAUGAAAUGCUAUGAAGUUAUUCUUUUACCCUUCCUUGAGAAUAUGGAAAUUCAUGUUUGGUGAUUGAGUUGGGCAAGUUAUGCGCAGUUCACCUACAAUUUAUGUGAAUGCAUAUGGCAUCUUAC
Molecule: long non-coding RNA, 880 nt
Filed under: Triticum aestivum (bread wheat)
Lineage: Eukaryota; Viridiplantae; Streptophyta; Magnoliopsida; Poales; Poaceae
Description: long non-coding RNA (TAES_LNC007102)
Source: RNAcentral